GUUCCCCACUGGAAGCAUGACCCCGAAUGACACGCACAUUGUGGAGGGGAUUAAAGUGUGGAGGGGGUUGAUGCGCAAGGUCUCGGACUAUGAAGGAGGGGUAGAUACAGUAAGAAAUAAAGGGAAAGAGGAAUUUAAAAAAAUUGAACAAACAUUUUGGAGAAAGUGGAGGUCAUGAAAAAAAUAUCUCCCCAUUGCUUCGACAUUUGUCAAGUUACACAAUAUUUUUUUUAAGUUAACAAUUUAGGAUCUUAACAAGAAAACGAAGCUGUGACGUACCAGUGCGGAGAGGAUGGGCAGGAAGACGGUGAGCGUCGCCGGGUUGGAGGCGAACUCCGUGACCGCCGACACCAGCAGGCAGGCGAGCAGGGUGACGGCCCAGGGCGGGAGUCCACUCAUCGGCUCCAGCUGGCGGCCGAUCCACACGGACAAGCCUGACACCUGCACACCGAAAUCACCGGCUGCCAGCGCAUAGCCUCCGCCCACCAGGAUGACGAUCUCCCACGGCAUUAGCCGCUGGAAGUCCUUCCAAGUGAUCAUUGGAGCCAGCGGGUCUGAUGCUGUAAAUACAAAUUGCGAAGGAAUGUCGUGAC
Molecule: long non-coding RNA, 593 nt
Organism: Phyllopteryx taeniolatus (common seadragon)
Lineage: Eukaryota; Metazoa; Chordata; Actinopteri; Syngnathiformes; Syngnathidae
Exons: 3
Source: RefSeq, a predicted model, not a curated record